Xiphophorus maculatus (southern platyfish) is the source of this 1205-nucleotide long non-coding RNA. RefSeq lists it as uncharacterized. The transcript is spliced from 3 exons. The record is from RefSeq and is a predicted model, not a curated record. NCBI's taxonomy places the organism in Eukaryota, Metazoa, Chordata, Actinopteri, Cyprinodontiformes, Poeciliidae.
UUCAUGCUGGUCUCAUUUUUCAGGAGAUUCUUUAUUAUUGUUUUUCAUCCCAGAGGAUCUGCUGUCCUCCAGUGACAUGACUAAGUAUGAAAUCCUGCGAGAUUUUGUGGGAUUUGAGGUUUUAAAAGUGGGGCGGAACCUAAGGACAGGGACGUUUAUGGCCAGCAGCUUUUGGCCUUCCUUCGUUUUAAAUCGUUUUAAAUAAUUAGUUUUUAAUUUUUGAACGUGAUAUUUUUACCAACAUGCCUUUAGUUUCUAGACGCCUCUAAACUUUAAAAGAAUUGGUUUUCCUGAAUUUAGAAAUGGAAAGAAACAAACAGUCUCCACUCCGCCCAGAUAAAAUUCAGCUGCUGUGAUGAUUCUGCAGCAUCGGCGCCGUUAAAGCAGCAACCAGGUUCUGCUUUGCUGCAUUUUACUGCCCAGGAUUGUGAAGGUGCCACCGGUGUAAUUUAUCGAAACAUCUGUAAAGGGAGGUGCCUGUUUGAGAUGAUGGACGUCCAGCUGAGACCAACAACAAAACUUCAGUCAGGAGCGCCUAAUGGGCCGCCGACAGAAAACACAGACUGUUAGGUAAACCGGCAUCAGCUGGAUCCUCAUUACUUCACUCCAGGGAGGAGGAAACUCUCCUCCACCCCGUCCUGUUGGAUCCAUCCUGGUCUGGUUUCCUAGCUGGACGCCAUGCAGAGCGUCUGGUAGACAUUUUGUUCUGAGGGUUUAACUUUAUUAUUUUAGCUCAGUUUUACUUCCACAACAUCAGACUUUACUUUUCUUGUGUCAAAUGAAGCCAACUGCUAGAAACUAAAUGGUUAACUAAUAAGAAAAUUCACCUGCCGAUAACCGGAAGUGGACUACCAAAAUAAAAGCAGGCUAUUCCGAACCUCUUUUUGAACUCCUUGAUUGAAUCGCUUUAUUUCUUCUCCUCUUCAUCGUUUCUUUUCCUCUUUUCUUCUUCAACAUGUCAGGUUAAAUCGAAGGAUGAGCCGUUUUGAAGCCAAUCCAGACGUUUAGCAGCGGAGACGCUUCACCUCUCGGCCUCACCAGCAGGAGUUCAGAGGUUCUCAACACCCAGCUUUUAUUUUGAUAGUCCACUCUCACUCAUCUGCAGGAGAAUUUGCAUAUUAGUUAAAUAGUUAGCUUGCCAACUAAAUAUUUAAAUUGUAAACUAAAUCUUAUGCUAGUUCAAAGGUUAACUAAAUAUUUAGCUA